RNAcentral lists this long non-coding RNA (604 nucleotides) under Gossypium barbadense (sea-island cotton). RNAcentral describes it as "long non-coding RNA (GBAR_LNC015205)". Lineage: Eukaryota; Viridiplantae; Streptophyta; Magnoliopsida; Malvales; Malvaceae. The record is from RNAcentral.
GUACACUAAAUUAAAUAGGCAUGGAUUAAAUCGUAUUUAAUUAAAAGCAUGAAAAUAAAAACAGAAUUAGGACUAAAAGAGGAGCGCGCGAAUAACAUGGGGACUAAAGUGGGAAAUAUCCCAAUCCACAAAACGCAGCGCUGCAAUAUGGACCAAAAUGAAAUCAGCAGGAAAUUGUGCGGUCAAAACUAAAUAAACAAAAGGGGCUAUUGAACCAUAGCGCAAAAAGGGAGGACCUGUCGCGCAAAUAACCCUCCCAAUACCAAAACACGCAGAUCUAGCCGCAUCUGGGUCGGGUCAAUGGGUCUUGCUCAAUACAACACCAUUUUGGAGCCAUUGGAACGGGUCUCAAACGGUGCCGUUUUAUGGUCUGUGUAAAGCUUAAAAAAAACACAAAAGCAUUAAGCCAUUUUACAACAGAUUUGUAAACCCUAGCCUCCUUCACGCCGUUCUCAAGGUCGAAUCCCCUCUUCGUCUCCGAUGAAGACCUACAGAAGGGUUCCAACGGUGCGCCCAGGUAAGGUUUCUCCUCGCCUUUUCCUCUUUUUAUUUUAUAAAUAUUCUUAUAUAUAUAUAUGAUUAAAUGAAAAAAAAACGAAAAAGA